This 661-nucleotide long non-coding RNA is filed under the name Glycine max (soybean). RNAcentral's name for it is "long non-coding RNA (GMAX_LNC001720)". The record is from RNAcentral. Lineage: Eukaryota; Viridiplantae; Streptophyta; Magnoliopsida; Fabales; Fabaceae.
AAAGAGGGUUUCAUUUGGAAGAAUUGGGACCACUGAAACUUAGGGAGAUAUUCACAUCAAACAUCUGGGGAAAGUGAAAAUUGUAAUGGAUGCUAAAGAAACCAAGAUGUCAAGUAACAAUUGAAUAAGUUGAAGUUGUUAUGGGAUAUAGAUGAUCGAAGAAUCCGAAUUACCAGAAAAUGUAAAGGAGAUUCUUGAAGUGCUUCAACCUGAUACCCGAAAACUUGAGAGUCUAAAGGUGGUAGGAUAUAAAAAGGUACUCAUUUUUCACAAUGGAUGUCUAGUCCUUCUCUUAAAUAUUUAACUCAUUUAAGGUUGGAGAAUUGCGAAAGGUGUUUACAACUUCCAUUGUUGGAGAAACCGUCUUCUUUAAAGAAUCUAAACAUAUCUAAGAUGAUUAAUAUAAAAUACAUAUAUGAUGAGUGCUAUGAUGUUGGAGUGGUUUUUGUGGCUCUAGAAAUUUUGUCCAUCUACAGUUAGCCAAACCUAAUAAGGUUAUCUAGGGAAGAUGGGGAAAACAUCUUCCCAUACCUUUAUUUGCCUUGGAUUGUUGCAUGUCCUAAUUUUUUACCAGAAAAAGUCUUGGUGCAAGGGUUGCACUCUCUCAAGACAUAUUGUGGAAAGUGAUAAGUUCAAUGUGUCGGCAGGUUUUUAAUGCUUG